RNAcentral lists this ribosomal RNA (406 nucleotides) under uncultured bacterium. Its description in RNAcentral is "partial 16S ribosomal RNA". It matches the Rfam family "Bacterial small subunit ribosomal RNA", at positions 30 to 526 of the family's 1533-position model. The record is from RNAcentral.
AUCGAACGCUGGCGGCAGGCCUAACACAUGCAAGUCGAGCGAGCGGCGGACGGGUGAGUAAUGUCUGGGAAACUGCCUGAUGGAGGGGGAUAACUACUGGAAACGGUAGCUAAUACCGCAUACCAUCAGAUGUGCCCAGGCGGGUUUGGCUAGUAGGUUGGGUAACGGCUCACCUAGGCGACGAUCCCUAGCUGGACUGCGAGGUUGACCAGCCACACUGGAACUGAGACACGGUCCAGACUCCGACGGGAGGCAGCAGUGGGGAAUAUUGCACAAUGGGCGCAAGCCUGAUGCAGCCAUGCCGCGUGUGUGAAGAAGGCCUUCGGGUUGUAAAGCACUUUCAGCGGGGAGGCGUUACCCGCAGAAGAAGCACCGGCUAACUCCGUGCCAACAGCCGCGGUAAUAC